ACUCUUAGCGGUGGAUCAC
RNAcentral lists this non-coding RNA (19 nucleotides) under Xenopus tropicalis (tropical clawed frog). Lineage: Eukaryota; Metazoa; Chordata; Amphibia; Anura; Pipidae. RNAcentral also lists the same sequence under 2 other names. The record is from RNAcentral.